GCGACCUCAGCUCAGGCGGGCUACCGCUGAGUUUAA
Molecule: ribosomal RNA, 36 nt
Filed under: Daniellia ogea
Lineage: Eukaryota; Viridiplantae; Streptophyta; Magnoliopsida; Fabales; Fabaceae
Description: partial 26S ribosomal RNA
Source: RNAcentral